Molecule: ribosomal RNA, 493 nt
Filed under: uncultured bacterium
Lineage: Bacteria
Description: partial 16S ribosomal RNA
Rfam family: Bacterial small subunit ribosomal RNA
Source: RNAcentral
GACGAACGCUGGCGGCGUGCUUAACACAUGCAAGUCGAACGGUGAAGCGCCUUCCUUUUUGGUGGGUGUGGAUGAGUGGCGAACGGGUGAGUAACACGAGAGUAACCUGCCCCCUUCUUCUGGAUAACCGCAUGAAAGUGUGGCUAAUACGGGAUAUUCUGGGUCUGUCGCAUGAUGGGUCUGUGAAAGAUAUUGUUUCGGUGGUGGAUGGGCUCGCGGCCUCUCAGCUGGUUGGUGGGGUGAUGGCCUACCAAGGCGUGGGCGGGUAGCCGGCCUGAGAGAGUGGACAGUCGGACUGGGAGACAGGCACCGGACAGACUCGGAAGGGAGGCAGCGGGAGGAAAGAUUGAAGGGUGGGCGCAAGACUGAUGAAGCGACGCCGCGUGAGGGAGGGAGGCCGUCGGGUAGUGAACCUCUUUCGCCAGGGAAGCAGGCCUGCCUCGUUUGUGGGUGGGUGGACGGAAGCUGGAUAAGAAGCGCCGGCAAACUAGUU